This 601-nucleotide long non-coding RNA is filed under the name Sus scrofa (pig). Its description in RNAcentral is "lncRNA (ENSSSCG00065059778.1)". Lineage: Eukaryota; Metazoa; Chordata; Mammalia; Artiodactyla; Suidae. The record is from RNAcentral.
AUGCUCUCAGUGAGGUAUAGAGGCAGCAAAGAGCGGACAGAUUUCAAGCUUGGACUCUGAAGAAGGCAAUAGCUAUCAUGAUGAUGGACAAGCAUCAUUGGAAACCCCAGAGGUUCAAGGUAUAGGGAAGGUCGCAAGGCACCAAAGGGAAGAGGAUGGAAGAAAAAGAAAGAUGAUAAGAAAACUGCAGCACUGAGACAUCCCCAUCACAGCACGUGGCUGGUAAGCACUAAAACUUGGCAAUAUGGGUUCAAGUUUACACUAAUACUUAGAAGGAAUGAAAAUAAUAUUGAUUUCAGUUUACUUUCUGUUUGCUGACCUAUUGAGCAGUGUUGCCUGGGUUGGGAGAAAACAGAAAUUACUUAUUUUAUUCUCAAUAACUUCUAGCUCCUAGAACCUUCCAGAACCUGAGCCCUCUUUCAUCUGCAGCCUCCUGCGUAUUGGCAGGCACUGGUGUUUAUUCCUGGUACUGCUGCAUGUCCUAGAGUCUACUGCAAUGUCAUGGAUUUUCUCCUUUGGGGAUAUUGGAGGAGACACUAUUCUUUUGAGAGUCUGUAGGAUUUUUAUAAGGGUAAUUGAUAUGUGUGAAGCAUCGCAAAUA